Molecule: non-coding RNA, 1308 nt
Organism: Microcebus murinus (gray mouse lemur)
Lineage: Eukaryota; Metazoa; Chordata; Mammalia; Primates; Cheirogaleidae
Source: RefSeq, a predicted model, not a curated record
UUCUGACAAAGCCACCACCAUUUUGUAAGAGAUUUUAGCUUCUAAAACUGAUGGGAAAAUCUCUUUUAAAUGGACAUCACCCAGCUAACAGGCGGGGAGGCGAGAUGAGGCGAGAACGGCUUAGUAAACGCGGGGACGUCCCUCCCUAACUCCGUCCCCAGCUCCAGAGGGUCACUUUCUCUUUAAAUGCAAAUCACCUCCCGCCAGCUCCGCUUCCACCCGGUGGAGUUCCCGGGAGGAGAGGGCGAGGGCGGAGGGCCCUUGCACCGAAGCUUCGCUCGAGACCCCAAAGCUCCAGGCCGGAGGCCCAGCCAGCACCCAUGGAUGACAAGAAGAAGAAACGGAGUCCCAAGCCCUGUCUGGCCCAGCCAGCCCAGGCCCCAGGCACACUACGCAGGGUCCCUGUGCCCACCAGCCAUAGUGGCUCCUUGGCCCUGGGACUCCCUCAUCUGCCAUCCCCCAAGCAACGGGCUAAGUUCAAGAGAGUAGGCAAAGAGAAGUGCCGCCCAGUGCUGGCUGGAGGUGCGGGUGGCUCUGCAGGCACACCUCUGCAACACUCCUUCCUGACCGAGGUGACCGAUGUCUAUGAGAUGGAGGGGGGACUACUGAACCUGCUCAAUGAUUUUCAUUCAGGCCGGCUGCAGGCCUUUGGGAAGGAAUGCUCCUUCGAGCAGUUGGAGCACGUGCGCGAGAUGCAGGAGAAGCUGGCCCGGCUGCACUUCAGCCUGGACGUGUGUGGGGAGGAGGAUGAUGAUGAAGAGGAAGAGGAUGGAGUCACUGAGGGGCUGCCUGAGGAGCAGAAGAAGACGAUGGCUGACCGCAAUCUGGACCAGCUGCUUAGCAAUCUAGAAGAUCUUAGUAAUUCUAUGUAUCCUUCCCAAGGGACCUGACAAUGUAUGUGCCUGUGUCUCCCAGAGAAGAGGUCAGUUUCCUCCUCCUCACCAUCCUCCAGGAGAAUUCACACAUAACCAACAUCCCUAAAUUUUGCAGUCCUGCUGCGUUGGAAUUAGCCACAAACUGCCCCCACCCAGGCAGAAACAAGCGCGGGCGAGCGCCCCCUCACCCCAAAACACACCCCACAGUCUGGCUCGGGUGCUCACCAGCUCCUUGGACCUGCGUGAGCUGAUGAAGAGAGAGGGGGUGAGUGACCUAGCAAGGAGGGCAGGUGGGGACUGCAACCUCAGCCCACGGACGAACCCAGAGACCUUUGUCCCGUCCCUGUGCACGGCUGGGGACUCUAAGCCUGUGCGGGAUGGGAGGACAGGGCGGAAGGAAAGACUGGGUCCAAAGCGUCACAAUCCUUAACUG